This 246-nucleotide unclassified non-coding RNA is filed under the name Melitaea cinxia (Glanville fritillary). RNAcentral describes it as "misc RNA ENSMCXG00005021554.1". The record is from RNAcentral. Lineage: Eukaryota; Metazoa; Arthropoda; Insecta; Lepidoptera; Nymphalidae.
AAAAUCACAAUUAAAGGAAAUUAUUAAAAAUAAUAAAAAAUAAAAAUUGCGAUGGAAAAAUAGGAGUAAUAUAUUUUUUUUUAUUCUAAGUCAUGACAAAAUAAAUAUAAAAAUCCUGCCAAAAAAAUAAAGUUUAUAAUUAACAAAUAAAAUAUAGGGGUUGAUCGUAGAAGGUUGAAAAUUUAGGGUUGUAUGUAUUUUUUAAUGAUGUAUCAUAAAAAAAUAAAAAUAUAAAUAAUUCAUCUA